Molecule: ribosomal RNA, 352 nt
Filed under: uncultured bacterium
Lineage: Bacteria
Description: bacterial SSU rRNA
Rfam family: Bacterial small subunit ribosomal RNA
Source: RNAcentral
GGACCCGCACAAGUAGUGGAGCAUGUGGUUUAAUUCGAAGAUACGCGAGGAACCUUACCAGGACUUAAAUGUAAGUUGCAUGAUUCAGAAAUGGAUCUUUCUUCGGACUACUUACAAGGUGCUGCAUGGUUGUCGUCAGCUCGUGCCGUGAGGUGUCAGGUUAAGUCCUAUAACGAGCGCAACCCCUAUCGUUAGUUGCCAUCAAGUAAAGUUGGGAACUCUAGCGAAACUGCCGGUGCAAACCGUGAGGAAGGUGGGGAUGACGUCAAAUCAUCACGGCCCUUACGUCCUGGGCCACACACGUGCUACAAUGGUCAGUACAGAAAGCAGCCACUAUGCGAAUAGGAGCUAA